RNAcentral lists this ribosomal RNA (656 nucleotides) under Ommatogammarus flavus. RNAcentral's name for it is "bacterial SSU rRNA". It matches the Rfam family "Eukaryotic small subunit ribosomal RNA", at positions 65 to 638 of the family's 1831-position model. The record is from RNAcentral. Lineage: Eukaryota; Metazoa; Arthropoda; Malacostraca; Amphipoda; Ommatogammaridae.
CCAAGCUGUGUUCACACGGCGAGACCGCGGACGGCUCAUUAAAUCAGUCGUGGUCCAAAUGGGCCAGUGCAAAUCCUACUUGGAUAACUGUGGUAAUUCCAGAGCUAAUACAUGCAACUGAUAUCCCGAAGGCGGUGUAGGUGCUUGCUUGUCUUGCGCUUGCACUGCUCUGACGGAUGCUUUUAUUAGACCAAGCCGCUGAGGACUUGAGGGUUCGCGCUCUCUUGUUUGACUCGUGUGAUGGUGACUCUGGAUAACCAAAUUCUGACAAGCGUACGUACUUCUCUUCUGAGCGAGACGACGCUGCCACUUUCGAGUGUCUGCCUUAUCAGCUAUCAACCGUUCGUUAUGCGCGACCGAUGGCUUUGACGGGUAACGGGGAAUCAGGGUUCGAUUCCGGAGAGGCAGCCUGAGAGACGGCUACCACGUCCAAGGACGGCAGCAGGCACGCAAAUUACCCAAUCCCAGCAAAUGGGGGAGGUAGUGACGAAAUCUAACGAUGCGGGCGCCCUUUCUGGGGCCCCGCAAUCGGAAUGGGCACUUUCUAAACAACCUGUUGAGAACCUACUGAAGGGCAAGUCUGGUGCCAGCAGCCGCGGUAAUUCCAGCUUCAGCAGCAUCUAUUAAAGUUGCUGCRGUUAAAARGCUCGYAGUUG